This is a small nuclear RNA of Jaculus jaculus (lesser Egyptian jerboa), 107 nucleotides long. Lineage: Eukaryota; Metazoa; Chordata; Mammalia; Rodentia; Dipodidae. The record is from Ensembl.
GUGCUUGCUUUGGCAGCACAUAUACUAAAAUUGGAUCAAUACAGAGAUGAUUAUCAUGGCCCCUGCAUAAGGAUUACAUGAAAAUUCAUGAAGUGUUCCAUAUUUUU